Non-coding RNA from Cyanistes caeruleus (blue tit), 3869 nucleotides. NCBI's taxonomy places the organism in Eukaryota, Metazoa, Chordata, Aves, Passeriformes, Paridae. The record is from RefSeq and is a predicted model, not a curated record.
UGAAAGCAUUUGCAUCUUCAGAUAGCCUAGCCAAGGUCCAAGAAGUAGCAAGCUGGCUUUUGGAAAUGAAUCAGGAACUGCUCUCUGUGGGCAGCAAGAGGCGACGAACUGGUGGAUCUCUUCGAGGUAAUGCUUCCUCAAGCCAAGUAGAUGAGGAGCAGAUGAAUCGGGUCGUAGAAGAGGAGGAGCAGCAGCAAAGACGACAACAAGAGGAGCAGCACAUUGGGAGGAAUGGGGAGAUAGGAGGAGAAGAAUCUGGAUUUGAUGACAGGCAUGAGUCUCAGCAGGAGCAGUUAGAAGAAAAUAAUAAUAGACUUAUUACAGUGGAUGAAGAUUCCACUUGUAACCAAGAGGAAGAUGAUGAUGAACAUGCUGGUGAUCAAGAGGAGGAGGUGGAAGAGGAGGAGGAAAUGGACCAGGACAGUGAUGAUUUUGAUCAGUCUGAUGACAGCAGCAGAGAAGAUGAACAUGCUAACAGUAAUAGUGUCACAAAUUCCAAUAGCCUCAUGGACUUGCCCAUUCACCAGUCAUCGCCAUUCUACAUGAAGACAAAGAUGAAGAGAAAGUUGGACCAUGGCUCCGAGGUCCGUUCUUUCUCUCUGGGAAAGAAACCCUGCAAAGUCUCAGAAUACACAAGUACCACGGGGCUGGUGCCAUGUUCUGCCACACCGACGACGUUUGGGGACCUGCGGGCAGCCAACGGCCAGGGGCAGCAGCGGCGCCGCAUUACAUCCGUGCAGCCACCGUCGGGCCUCCAGGAAUGGCUGAAAAUGUUUCAGAGCUGGAGCGGACCAGAGAAGUUACUUGCUUUAGAUGAACUCAUUGAUAGUUGUGAACCAACACAAGUAAAACACAUGAUGCAAGUGAUAGAGCCCCAGUUUCAAAGAGACUUCAUUUCCUUGCUCCCAAAAGAGCUGGCACUGUAUGUGCUGUCAUUCCUGGAACCCAGGGACCUUCUGCAGGCAGCCCAGACAUGUCGUUACUGGAGAAUUCUGGCUGAAGAUAAUCUUCUCUGGAGAGAGAAAUGCAAAGAGGAGGGGAUUGAUGAACCAUUACAUAUCAAGAGGAGGAAAGUAAUAAAACCAGGCUUUAUACACAGUCCGUGGAAAAGCGCCUACAUCAGACAGCACAGGAUUGAUACCAACUGGCGGCGGGGAGAACUGAAAUCGCCCAAGGUGCUCAAGGGCCACGAUGACCAUGUGAUCACAUGCCUGCAGUUCUGUGGGAACCGCAUCGUGAGCGGCUCCGACGACAACACGCUCAAAGUGUGGUCAGCAGUGACAGGCAAGUGUUUGAGAACACUGGUUGGGCACACAGGCGGAGUGUGGUCAUCACAGAUGAGGGACAACAUUAUCAUCAGUGGCUCUACAGACAGAACGUUGAAAGUCUGGAAUGCUGAGACCGGGGAAUGCAUCCACACCUUGUACGGACACACCUCCACCGUGCGCUGCAUGCAUCUCCACGAGAAAAGGGUGGUCAGUGGGUCUCGAGACGCUACGCUGCGAGUCUGGGACAUAGAGACGGGCCAGUGUUUACACGUUCUGAUGGGCCACGUCGCCGCAGUUCGUUUGAUGGUAUCCAUGUGGUGAGUGGAUCUCUUGACACUUCCAUCCGAGUUUGGGAUGUGGAGACAGGCAACUGCAUUCACACUCUAACGGGCCACCAGUCACUCACAAGUGGAAUGGAACUCAAGGACAAUAUACUUGUGUCUGGGAAUGCUGAUUCUACAGUCAAAAUCUGGGACAUUAAAACAGGACAAUGUUUACAGACAUUGCAAGGUCCCAACAAGCAUCAGAGUGCUGUGACCUGUUUACAGUUCAACAAGAACUUUGUAAUUACCAGCUCAGAUGAUGGGACUGUAAAACUUUGGGACUUGAAAACGGGUGAAUUUAUCCGAAAUCUAGUCACAUUGGAGAGCGGGGGAAGUGGAGGCGUCGUGUGGCGAAUCAGAGCUUCUAACACAAAGCUGGUGUGUGCAGUUGGGAGCCGCAACGGGACUGAGGAAACAAAGCUGCUGGUGUUGGACUUUGACGUCGAUAUGAAGUGAAGGGCAGAAAGAUGAAUUUGUCCAAACGUGUAGACGAUGUUCUCCUUUCCCUCCCCCCUGAAAAAAAAAAAAAAAGAAAAAAGAAAAAAAAGAAAAAGGAAAAAAAUCCCUUGUCCUUGGUGGUGCAGGAUGUUGCCUUGGGGCAACAGAUCCUAAAGACCUACAGACUACGAAGGAGAAGACAAAGAUGACAAACUAUAACUGACAAGAGAGGCUUUUGCUGUCUCGUCACAUAAAAAGGCUACACUUUUGACCGGGGCAGCUUUGCAAAAAUCCAAUUUUGAAAUGAAACCAGGUGCAAUUAAUUUCUUUACUUUUCUCCAAAUGCUCCUUGAACAAUUUGGAGUGGGGAAAAAAAAAAAAAACCAACAAAAAAAAGUUACACUUCUUGUUAGCAAGUUAUUUUACCACAAAGAUCUUGAAAUAAGCUGCACAGGCGAGCCUGCUCGUGCACCCCUGGGUCACCCUGGGUCCCGGCAGCCCCUCCGAGCAACGCGCUGUCCCUUAGCCCCGCUCCGAGCAGGGGGUUGGACCGGACUCCCUCCAAGGUCCCUUCCAACCUCCACGAGCAGUCACUGGUUGACUUUCAAAAACUAGAGAGCAUCUGCAAUGAGAAAAACAAACAAAAACAAAAACAAAGAGUCCAUUCCUGGUGUGGAAAAGCUAAAAUAUUACUGUGAAUUGUUUUGUACAGUUUUAUCAGAGCUUUUUCUUUUUUUUCUUUAUUCCUCUUUUUUUUUUUAUUUUAUUUUUUUUUUGCCAACCAUUGCCAAUGUCAAUCACAGUAUUAGCCUCUGUUUAAUCUAUUUACUGUUGCUUCCAUCUACACUCUUCAACGCAUAAGUUGCUCUGAGGUGGCAAGUUGUCCUGGGUUUUGAGAGUCCUCUGAUGGAUUUAAUUCGCAAUGCUGGUGCUAGAAGUAGGUCUUCAAUUACGGGAUUGUUGUCCCACCCCUGUACUGUAUUCCCAGUGGCCAAACUUAUUUAUGCUGCUAAAUGAAAGAAAGAAAAGCAAAUUAUUUUUUUUUAUUUUUUUUUUCUGCUGUGACGUUUUAGUCCCAGACUGAAUUCCAAAUUUGCUCUAGUUUGGUUACAGAAAAAGACUUUUUGCCACUGAAACUUGAGCCAACUGUGCCUCUAAGAGGCUGAGAGUGGAAGAGUUUCAGACAAUUAAGAGUGAAGUUUGCCUGCAAAUAAAGAAUUGAGUGUGUGUGCAAAGCUUAUUUUCUUUUUUCUGGGCAAAAAUUAAAACACAUUCCUUGGAACAAAGCUAUUGCAGCCUGUUCUGUGGGGAAAUUUUUCUUUGUGAGGGCUGUGGUGAAUGGAAUGAACAUACAUUAAAAAAAAAAACUGACAAAAUUUUUAAAAAAUAUUAUAAAAUACAAAAAUUAAAAUAAAGUUGCUGGUCAGUCUUAGUGUUUUACAGUAUUUGAGAAAAAAACAACUGUUACAGUUAUUGCUGGGAGGAACUGACAGAGCAAAAACUUACGUUUUUGUAAAGAUGUCACAUGCAAACAAAAUGAGAAAAGAAAGAGUCAAAUGGUUUGCCUCAUUCUCCAAGAGCCACAACUCAAGCUGAACUGUGAAAGUGGUUUAACACUGUAUCCUAGGCGAUCUUUUUUCCUCCUUUUUUUGUUUUUGUUUUUGUUUUAUUUAUAGUCUGAUUUAAAACAAUCAGAUUCCAGUUGGUUAAUUUUAGUUAUGUAACAACCUGACAUGAUGGAGGAAAACAACCUUUAAAGGGAUUGUGUCUAUGGUUUGAUUCACCUAGAAAUUUUAUUUUCUUAUAACUUAAGUGCAAUAAAAUGUGUUUUUUCAUGUUA